GGAGCAGCCCAGAGCCUGAAUCAGUGUGUGUGUUAGUGGAAGCGUCUGGAAAGGCGUGCGAUACAGGGUGACAGCCCCGUACACAAAAAUGCACAUACUGUGAGCUCGAUGAGUAGGGCGGGACACGUGGUAUCCUGUCUGAAUAUGGGGGGACCAUCCUCCAAGGCUAAAUACUCCUGACUGACCGAUAGUGAACCAGUACCGUGAGGGAAAGGCGAAAAGAACCCCGGCGAGGGGAGUGAAAAAGAACCUGAAACCGUGUACGUACAAGCAGUGGGAGCACGCUUAGGCGUGUGACUGCGUACCUUUUGUAUAAUGGGUCAGCGACUUAUAUUCUGUAGCAAGGUUAACCGAAUAGGGGAGCCGAAGGGAAACCGAGUCUUAACUGGGCGUUAAGUUGCAGGGUAUAGACCCGAAACCCGGUGAUCUAGCCAUGGGCAGGUUGAAGGUUGGGUAACACUAACUGGAGGACCGAACCGACUAAUGUUGAAAAAUUAGCGGAUGACUUGUGGCUGGGGGUGAAAGGCCAAUCAAACCGGGAGAUAGCUGGUUCUCCCCGAAAGCUAUUUAGGUAGCGCCUCGUGAAUUCAUCUCCGGGGGUAGAGCACUGUUUCGGCAAGGGGGUCAUCCCGACUUACCAACCCGAUGCAAACUGCGAAUACCGGAGAAUGUUAUCACGGGAGACACACGGCGGGUGCUAACGUCCGUCGUGAAGAGGGAAACAACCCAGACCGCCAGCUAAGGUCCCAAAGUCAUGGUUAAGUGGGAAACGAUGUGGGAAGGCCCAGACAGCCAGGAUGUUGGCUUAGAAGCAGCCAUCAUUUAAAGAAAGCGUAAUAGCUCACUGGUCGAGUCGGCCUGCGCGGAAGAUGUAACGGGGCUAAACCAUGCACCGAAGCUGCGGCAGCGACGCUUAUGCGUUGUUGGGUAGGGGAGCGUUCUGUAAGCCUGUGAAGGUGUGCUGUGAGGUAUGCUGGAGGUAUCAGAAGUGCGAAUGCUGACAUAAGUAACGAUAAAGCGGGUGAAAAGCCCGCUCGCCGGAAGACCAAGGGUUCCUGUCCAACGUUAAUCGGGGCAGGGUGAGUCGACCCCUAAGGCGAGGCCGAAAGGCGUAGUCGAUGGGAAACAGGUUAAUAUUCCUGUACUUGGUGUUACUGCGAAGGGGGGACGGAGAAGGCUAUGUUGGCCGGGCGACGGUUGUCCCGGUUUAAGCGUGUAGGCUGGUUUUCCAGGCAAAUCCGGAAAAUCAAGGCCGAGGCGUGAUGACGAGGCACUACGGUGCUGAAGCAACAAAUGCCCUGCUUCCAGGAAAAGCCUCUAAGCAUCAGGUAACAUCAAAUCGUACCCCAAACCGACACAGGUGGUCAGGUAGAGAAUACCAAGGCGCUUGAGAGAACUCGGGUGAAGGAACUAGGCAAAAUGGUGCCGUAACUUCGGGAGAAGGCACGCUGAUACGUAGGUGAAGCGACUUGCUCGUGGAGCUGAAAUCAGUCGAAGAUACCAGCUGGCUGCAACUGUUUAUUAAAAACACAGCACUGUGCAAACACGAAAGUGGACGUAUACGGUGUGACGCCUGCCCGGUGCCGGAAGGUUAAUUGAUGGGGUUAGCGCAAGCGAAGCUCUUGAUCGAAGCCCCGGUAAACGGCGGCCGUAACUAUAACGGUCCUAAGGUAGCGAAAUUCCUUGUCGGGUAAGUUCCGACCUGCACGAAUGGCGUAAUGAUGGCCAGGCUGUCUCCACCCGAGACUCAGUGAAAUUGAACUCGCUGUGAAGAUGCAGUGUACCCGCGGCAAGACGGAAAGACCCCGUGAACCUUUACUAUAGCUUGACACUGAACAUUGAGCCUUGAUGUGUAGGAUAGGUGGGAGGCUUUGAAGUGUGGACGCCAGUCUGCAUGGAGCCGACCUUGAAAUACCACCCUUUAAUGUUUGAUGUUCUAACGUGGACCCGUGAUCCGGGUUGCGGACAGUGUCUGGUGGGUAGUUUGACUGGGGCGGUCUCCUCCUAAAGAGUAACGGAGGAGCACGAAGGUUGGCUAAUCCUGGUCGGACAUCAGGAGGUUAGUGCAAUGGCAUAAGCCAGCUUGACUGCGAGCGUGACGGCGCGAGCAGGUGCGAAAGCAGGUCAUAGUGAUCCGGUGGUUCUGAAUGGAAGGGCCAUCGCUCAACGGAUAAAAGGUACUCCGGGGAUAACAGGCUGAUACCGCCCAAGAGUUCAUAUCGACGGCGGUGUUUGGCACCUCGAUGUCGGCUCAUCACAUCCUGGGGCUGAAGUAGGUCCCAAGGGUAUGGCUGUUCGCCAUUUAAAGUGGUACGCGAGCUGGGUUUAGAACGUCGUGAGACAGUUCGGUCCCUAUCUGCCGUGGGCGCUGGAGAACUGAGGGGGGCUGCUCCUAGUACGAGAGGACCGGAGUGGACGCAUCACUGGUGUUCGGGUUGUCAUGCCAAUGGCACUGCCCGGUAGCUAAAUGCGGAAGAGAUAAGUGCUGAAAGCAUCUAAGCACGAAACUUGCCCCGAGAUGAGUUCUCCCUGACCCUUUAAGGGUC
RNAcentral lists this ribosomal RNA (2546 nucleotides) under Shigella flexneri. RNAcentral describes it as "partial 23S ribosomal RNA". It matches the Rfam family "Bacterial large subunit ribosomal RNA", at positions 294 to 2827 of the family's 2925-position model. Lineage: Bacteria; Pseudomonadati; Pseudomonadota; Gammaproteobacteria; Enterobacterales; Enterobacteriaceae. The record is from RNAcentral.